GUUCCGUAGUUUAUUUGUCAUUAAUAGAUUGUACGCUAAACUAGUAAUAAUUCAUAAGUAAUAAUGUAAUGAUAAUAAUAAUGUAGCUCUUAUAUACUUAGGUAAGUACUCUUGUAAUGUAUUUUAAAAAAAUGACAAACUUUAUAUAUUUUAUUUCUUUGGUGUUAUAUUUAUUAAUCCUCAAUAUUUCAGGUAAAUAAAAUGUACAAAAUAAUAUAUUUUACAAAACAAAAAUGUAGUGGCUCUAAAAAAUAAUAUAAUAUAACUGUCUUGUAUAGAACUCGUCAAAAAUUAGUUAUGAAAUAUUCCAAUAGUUGAAAUUGAUCAAGUAAUGAGUUAACACAAUACAAGUAAUAAAUCAUAAUUAUUCAUAAUACCUACCUAUACCUACAUUUUUAGAAAACCUUUGCUACAAAUGAUGAACAAUAAUAUACACAGUGUACCUGUAUACUAUACCUAGUGUACCUACACGUAACCUAAAUAUGUAAAUGUAACAUUUUUAAGAAAGAACAUUUUAUUUGAAAAUCGUACACAUUUAGGUAUUUUAUUUUACAUUUUUUUUCUUAUUGUACCCAAUGGUUUAUACUAUAAUUUUCUAAGCAUAAUCUUAUUUAGGCAUUUUUUUUUAUGUAAUUUAUUUAAUAUACAAUAGUCGGUAGGUACUUACCUUAUUGAAUAUUUUGUAUUUGUUAUAUAGACACCGAAUAGUUAAGAACAUUAAAACUCGUAUUACCUUCUACAAAAUUAUUUAUUGUUCGAAAAGCAGUUUUGUAGGUACUUAAGAGGACGUUAAAUGUAAAUCUUUUCUUAUUCAACAGUCAAGAAAUCUAAAAAUGUGUUUUUAUACUUUAAAUGGUGAUUUCUCAAUUUGCCGACUCCCAGUUGCUGACUCCAAAUUCGCCGAAAAUCAGAUUCACGCCGUUUUAAUAAAAUAAAAUGUCAUUCAAAUUUACA
Molecule: long non-coding RNA, 954 nt
Filed under: Cinara cedri
Lineage: Eukaryota; Metazoa; Arthropoda; Insecta; Hemiptera; Aphididae
Source: RNAcentral